Molecule: long non-coding RNA, 466 nt
Filed under: Coturnix japonica (Japanese quail)
Lineage: Eukaryota; Metazoa; Chordata; Aves; Galliformes; Phasianidae
Description: lncRNA (ENSCJPG00005002498.1)
Source: RNAcentral
GGCUGAUUUCUUAGUGUCGGAACUGCAUCCAGGCAGCACUAGGUGGCAAUGUUGCUACAACGAAAACUCCCAUCGCUCCACUCCAGCAGAGACCCCCGCCACCCUUUGCAGACAAUGCAAAGAGCUGUCACUGCUUCGGCAUCGUUUGGGUUGGCCAAGACUGCACCGAGGUCAUCAAUGCUUUUAGACUCAGUCUGAGAUGGAACGAUGACAUUGGAGACCUUCCGGCUGUACCCAGAACUGCUUGGCCAGCUGAGGACUCUGCCUGACACAUUCACACCUAGAUGUCCCAUUCUGCAAGGUGUGAAAAGCAAUGAGAGGUACCAGUGCUGAACACUUUGUGUCAGCAAAGAUCACCAGAGCCAUGUGCCCUUCUUAGAUGGUAAUGGAUAAUUUCCCCAUAGCCUCAGUACCAGCACCUAAGAUUCUCAUAAAAACAUUGCCUUAGCUCAUGUGUCGAUCACAG